This is a non-coding RNA of Pelobates cultripes (western spadefoot toad), 208 nucleotides long. NCBI's taxonomy places the organism in Eukaryota, Metazoa, Chordata, Amphibia, Anura, Pelobatidae. The record is from the annotation of a GenBank genome assembly.
AAAAUUGUAAAUAUGUUUAGCGAUAUUUAAUUGCCUUACACAUCAUGGAUCUAAUAUCAAUGAGUUAGUAUGUCAGCACUGAUGUGCACAUACUUGCAGGUACUGUUCCCCGGGAGAUAGCUCUUGCUAGUCCAAAGACUCCCAAGCUUCAGAUCAAGGGUAAUCGCAUGACACCUUCUACAUAUGUUCUUUACAAAACCAAAUCCAG